This 308-nucleotide ribosomal RNA is filed under the name uncultured bacterium. RNAcentral describes it as "bacterial SSU rRNA". It matches the Rfam family "Bacterial small subunit ribosomal RNA", at positions 1182 to 1489 of the family's 1533-position model. The record is from RNAcentral.
ACGUCAAGUCCUCAUGGCCCUUAUAGGUAGGGCUACACACGUCAUACAAUGGAUGGUACAGAGGGUUGCCAACCCGCGAGGGGGAGCCAAUCCCAUAAAACCAUUCGUAGUCCGGAUCGCAGUCUGCAACUCGACUGCGUGAAGUCGGAAUCGCUAGUAAUCGCGGAUCAGAAUGUCGCGGUGAAUACGUUCCCGGGUCUUGUACACACCGCCCGUCACACCAUGGGAGCGGGUUCUGCCAGAAGUAGUUAGCCUAACCGCAAGGAGGGCGAUUACCACGGCAGGGUUCGUGACUGGGGUGAAGUCGU